Molecule: ribosomal RNA, 189 nt
Filed under: marine snow associated bacterium AdriaticR20
Lineage: Bacteria
Description: partial 16S ribosomal RNA
Rfam family: Bacterial small subunit ribosomal RNA
Source: RNAcentral
UGGUCUGAGAGGAUGAUCAGCCACACUGGAACUGAGACACGGUCCAGACUCUACGGGAGGCAGCAGUGGGGAAUAUUGCGCAAUGGGGGAAACCCUGAGCCAGCAACGCCGCGUGAGUGAGGAAGGCUUCGGGUUGUAAAGCUCUGUCAGAUGGGAAGAAUGGUUAUUGGUCUAAUAGGCCUUUAAUUU